This is a non-coding RNA of Salmo salar (Atlantic salmon), 1285 nucleotides long. NCBI's taxonomy places the organism in Eukaryota, Metazoa, Chordata, Actinopteri, Salmoniformes, Salmonidae. The record is from RefSeq and is a predicted model, not a curated record.
UUCUGUUCUGUUGGCCCUGUGUUCUGGUCUUGGUUCUAACUGGUCCAUGUUCUACAGCUCCUACAGCUAUUCCUGAAGAAGAGGUUACUGCAUUCCUCACAGGACAGACCCACAAUAAUCUGAAGCUGGCCACUGAGUACCUCCGGCGUUAUUACAACCUGAAGAAAGAGUAACCUUUGGGUCGGAGCAAGAGGUACCUGUCCUCGUUCACCUCCAAGGUGAAGGACAUGAAGAGCUUCUUUGGCCUCGACACCACAGGUAGUCUGGACUGAGACCCUGGAGGUGAUGAGGACCCCUCGCUGUGGGGUCUCUAAUGUGGAGGACUACAGUCACAACAACCGAGUUAACCGCUGGAACAAGAACGUCAUCACCUAUAGUAAUGGGAGGUACACCAGUGAUUUGGCUCACAGCACUGUAGACUCUCUGAGUCAGCGCUCAGUGCCAGGGCCAGCCCACAGAGGGAUGACAUCAUGCUGGAGUUUGCUACCUUUGUUUGGGUGUUUUCUGACUUCUGGGACAAAGAUAAUGGUUAUGCCUACUCGUUGGAUGGGUCUAAGGGCACUUUGGCACAUGCUUUUGGCCCUGGAGAGGGAAUUGGAGGGGAUGCCCACUUUGACGACGAUGAAACUUGGAUUGCAGGGUCAAAAGGGUUCAACCUGUAUCUAGUGGCAGCCCAUGAGUUUGGUCAUUCUUUAGGCUUAAGGCACUCCCAAAACCCAAAGUCACUGAUGUAUCUUACAUACAAAUCCAGUCGCAGUACACAAAACCUGCUCUCCAAAGAAGACAGAUCAAUAAUCAACUCACUUUAUGGUAUAUGGAUCAAGCACAAUCAGCAAACUUAUUUAAAAUAAGGUCCUAUCAACAACUUCCUGCCAAAGAUUGAAUCCAAAGUUGAUGCUGCCUUCUGGGUCCCUCGAGAUCCACUGCUUAGCUGAUUCAUGGUACAGGCAGAUUCAUACCAUACUACCCCAUCAUGGUUAACAGUGUGCAACGAAUGUACUAAGACUCAUUUUCAGAAAAUAAAUGAAAGCCAAAUGCAUCAACUGAGAUUGCGGUCACGCCUGCUCCCUCUCUGACGCUCGAGGGCACCAGGCUGCCCUUCAUUACGCAAACCUGUCACCAUCAUUAGGUGCAGCAGCGCUCAUUGGACUCACCUGGACUCCUUCCCGUUGUUGAUUGCCCCGUCUAUAACUGUCUGCUCCCCCAUUUGUUCCCUGUGUCUGCUUUAAUGUUAUGUGUUCAUGUCCUGUCCCAUGUCCGUUGAUAAUUAAAUGUUCACUCCCUG